AGUUGAGCUAAAUUGGCUUCUUCAAGUUCAGUAAGCGAUCAUCCAGAAGAAGAAAGCAUAACUUCAUACUAGUUUUCAAAAGGAUAUACGUAUUAAGGGUUAGAAGGCUGUCCAGUGAAACUGGGGACUGAUUGUGGAACAGAAAAUGGUGUAAUGGCAGCUAUGCAAUGUACAUUUCAGCAGGAUGCAGAAUCACACAAGUAUGGGUCAUCUCUGGUGAACCAAAGGAUUGAGGGCUGGACACCAUGUGUUGCCUGACAUUCCAAAUAACUACUGCACAGGAGUCAACAGACAGGACACACUGAUGCUCUCUUCUCAGUGGCAGCCCAAGAAAGGCCUAUACCCUGACAUUAGGCAAUGAAGAUCUGUACUGUUCCAUGAAUAGGGAAGAGUUUGGAGACUGCAUUGGUGGAGGAU
Non-coding RNA from Pocillopora verrucosa, 417 nucleotides. Lineage: Eukaryota; Metazoa; Cnidaria; Anthozoa; Scleractinia; Pocilloporidae. The record is from RefSeq and is a predicted model, not a curated record.